AAAGGGGGGCGUGGCCUGCGGCGCCCCCUCUCCACUGCCAUAUAGGGAAUGGAAUGCGGGGGCGGGGCCCGCCGCCGCGGCCUGAACCCGGUCACCUCUGCCGGGAAAGCCGGAAGGGUGGGGGGAGCCGCGCCUUGCGGACGGGAAAUACGGUAACGGCUGGGGCGGAGCGAGGACGGAAAAGACCUAGCUCCUGCCUCAGGGGCGGGACGGACGAAGCCCCUUCUGUGACAGGAGCCCCGGCGCGUGCCUAUAACAAGUCUUUGACGUUGCUCAGUGAGGCGAACUCCAAGGCGUGUCGGGGAGUGAGUUUUUUGUUUUCCCUCGAUUAUAGGUAAUACGGUAAGCGCCGUCGUCCCCGGUGCCAGCUCCCGGUUGGCUCUGCGGAUGUCCCGGCCUGGGAGCGCCCCGGGAGCCCCGGGGUGAAGGGCUGGGCUGUGCGGACUCGCUGUCAGUCAGUUGGAUUGGGAUGAAGGCACCGCGUCUGCCCAGAUAUGCUGAGGGUCUCUCGGGAUCCCACUGGCGCCGCCGCUUUCCGCAGCACAGAGCGCCGCUCCCGCCUCCGCGGCUCCUGGAACACCGCAUGGAAGUGCCUCACGGCAAGGAUGGGGAGUAGCAAACGCAGCCCACACUGCCUUUCCUUGCGCAGAGGGGCUCUUUGGUGUUCGUGUUACUGUGGAGCAAAAAGCAGUUUUGUUUUAGUAAUUACAUUUUAAAAAUAAGUGUUUUUACUAUUUUGAAAUUUUA
Molecule: long non-coding RNA, 747 nt
Organism: Pseudopipra pipra
Lineage: Eukaryota; Metazoa; Chordata; Aves; Passeriformes; Pipridae
Exons: 2
Source: RefSeq, a predicted model, not a curated record